Long non-coding RNA from Callithrix jacchus (white-tufted-ear marmoset), 2832 nucleotides. RefSeq lists it as uncharacterized. The record is from RefSeq and is a predicted model, not a curated record. Lineage: Eukaryota; Metazoa; Chordata; Mammalia; Primates; Cebidae.
UCAUUGAAAUGGGGCUUCUAAGAGGAUGGUAGUAUAAACAGUGUAGAGAUGCUGGACAAAGGGAGGAUUCAUGUCCUGGGUGGCAUGGAGUGGGACUGAGAGAUUUCAUUGUGAUCCUUAGAAUGGUGCACUGUUUAAAACAGGGUUCUCCAACCCUGUUAGGAACCAGGCUGCACAGCAGGAGGUGAGCAGAGGGUGAGUGAACGAAUCUUCAUCUGUAUUUACAGCUGCUCCCCAUCAUGCACAUGACCUCCCGAGCUCUGUCUCCUGUCAGAUCAGCAGCGGCAUUAGAGUCUCAUAGACUUGCAGGAUUCCAGCUCCUCAAGCCCUUCACACUCCACAAUAUUCCCCCACUCAGUCAACAUUCUCAGUGAAGAUCUUCAACCAUGUGGUAGCACUGGAGUCUCUCGGAGCCUACUCUGGUUUAGGGGCUUCCCGAUUCACAAAUCAUUCUUUGCUCAACUGAACUCUGUUAAAUUUAAUUUGGCUUAAGAUUUUUCUUUUAACAUCAGACACAUACAAAAGAAUAUCUGAAAUAGAAUGGAAGUGCCCCAAAAGCCCAGAGGUGACUCAGCUACCCCAGGAGGGGAAAAAGAGGGAGGAAAGAUGAGAAGGAGUACCAAGGAACACUCAGUUUGUAACUGCUGGUAGCAUCCUAAUUUUGUCAUAUCCCUUAAACCAAUAACAUUAACGCAGCAAAUAGUUUAUUGGGGAAAAUCCAGUGUGCAUAGAAAGGUUUCUAUUUGAUUUCUGAAAUAAACAAUGAUUAAGGUGAAAUCUAGGGAUGAGGAGGAGUUAACAACAGAACAGGAGUGGGAUCGGGAAGAGCAUUCAAGGUGAAAGGACUGGCCUGGGCAAAGGCCCACAGAAGCAGAUGAGAAAAUGAGAUGUCAGGGGUACCAAAAUUAGUCAAAAUGGCUGGAGCACAGAAUUUCACAAACUGUCGGAGUCAAGAGCCUGAAGAUGGAGGUACACAGGGCCUAAAGCUUCCUGAAAGACAUAUGGAGCCUGGAUUUUAUUUUGAGAAUAACGGGAAAGCACCAGAAGUGUUUGUGUGAGGAACUGACCUGCACAAUUUAUUACUCACAAUAGGGGAAGAGCAGCUUUAGGGAAAAAAAGGAUGAGUCUGGUUUUGGCCACGUUGAGUAGAAUCCACGAGACACGCAGACAUAGGAGGUGUUCAGAAGAGAGUUUGGUCAGACACAAGGAUUUGGAGUUAAAAGCAUUCCCAUUGUAAUGGAGGCUAAAAGACAAAUAAGCUUAAGAGGUGGCCAGAGUCCUCAAAGGACACUAAACCAGGGUGGCCAGAGCAGCAGGACAAACAGGAAAAGCGUGGCAUUGCAAAACACCGGAAAAAAUACGUUUCAAGAAGUGGGUGAUUGUGCUGAGAGUUACUAAGGGAUCAAGCAAGAUAAGGACUUACAACAUUCUAAGGAAAUUAGCAGCAAGAGCAUCCAUGAGCCAAGCAAGAGGAGUUUUGGCAGAAUGUGGAAAACAGAAGCCAAAUAGCAGAGCACUGUGGCAUGUGGAUGUCAUGGAAGCAGGAGGGAAGCACUAAGGCAGCAAUGCAAAAGACAAAAACGAAAACAAACAAACAAAAAGCUGUCCUGUCAAUGGGGUGAUUCUACCGUACUUUUUUUUCCCUUUCAGAUGGAAGAUGCUGGUGUUCAGGUGUUCCGUGAUUGGGUGAUGAUGGAAAUGAUCUAUUAAGGAGAGUGGAGUUGGUUAAGGGUCAAGGUGAAAGAAGGGGUAAUUGAUAUAAUGAGGUUCUUUGGGGUGUUGGAAAGGAACAGGAUGCAGAAGUUUCAUCGGAGAAAGGAUCUUUCUGUUGGGAUUUCACUCUGAAAGAAAUGAUGGGGUGGAUGGAGAACAUGUAGUUUGUAGGUUUGGAAUUUGGAAGCUGGGGAUAAAUCCAUCGGGUGGCUUUUAUUUUCAAUAAGCAGUAGAAGGCACAGCAUGUGCCAAGAGUGUAUGAGAGGAGGUGGGGAAGGUGACUGAGGGAAAAGGAAGUUUGCAGUAACUGUUUGCAAAUUGGGAGGAUUAUUUAGGACCAGAGGAGAAGGCAGAGUCAUCCAAAUCAUGAUACCUAUCAGUAUAGUUGUGUGACUUUUUCCCAGCAGAGCCAACUAUUUCCCAGUUUUUCACUUUGAAAUAUGUAUAUUUAAGCAAAUUCAAUGAACUUUAUUCCAUGUACCCAAAUGCAACUGUGACACGGUAAAAGCCCCAUAAAACUGAAAACCUCAACCAUACCUCGGCUUUCUAUUGAAACUGCUCUCUGUAACCCAAAUGUGACAGGCAGGCAGUCCAAACCCAUGGCAUCGUGGCCCCUGAGACUUGUAAUAAGUAAUUAAGGACUGUAAUUUCCGCCCUACCCAGACAAUGUGUAAACAAAUGCUAAUCUUGACUUUUGUGAGCCACUUAAGUAACCAUCAGAACGUCAAAAGUCCCCUGGCCCUCGGAGUGUCCCGAGCCCCUCACCCUCAUGUCUGCCCAGGAAGUCAUUUACAGAAUCCACUAGCCCUCAGAACGUCUAAGCCCCUCAUCCCCACCCCCGCCCCUCACCCUCACCCCCGAGGUGGUUUUAGGGGUAUCAAAGGUCUUGACACCCUCUUUUCAGGGCCACGGGUUGGAGAGACGUGAGUCCUCUGUGGCCGCCGGCAAUAAAGACCCUGCAAUUUGGCAUACUUUUGUCUCGGUGUUGACUUUCUAUGCUCGGGCCAGUACAACACAACUUUUGAAGGAUUUACCAUAGGGAGAUCCAAGCCCUCCAGGAAACUUUAUUUCUCGGUGUCCUAGAUGGUGGAGAAGCAUGGUAGAAGCUCAGGUAGGAAA